Molecule: long non-coding RNA, 1565 nt
Organism: Tachysurus fulvidraco (yellow catfish)
Lineage: Eukaryota; Metazoa; Chordata; Actinopteri; Siluriformes; Bagridae
Exons: 4
Source: RefSeq, a predicted model, not a curated record
ACAUUGGGUUUUGCAAACCACCCAAUGCCCAGAAUGCUAUAAAAAGGCUUACAGCUGUGUGCAACAAAGGUAAGGGAAACAGCAUCUGACCCCAUACCAGAGCAUGGGGAAACCUCUACAGCAGCUGCAGGCACCUCAGGGACAGGACUGUGGGAUCUUCUUGAUCAACGGGUGAUGGAAACAAGAAAAGUGAAGAGUGCCAAUGCCAAUGCAACCAUUGAGAUUCAGCGCUACCUGAGUGAACCCUUAUUUUCUAAGGCUGGUGAAGUGGUCAGCAAGAAGAGAAACAGGAUCAGGCCCAGCACUGUGGAGAAAAUCUUGUUCCUAUAUAAAAAUCUAACCACAGGUUACCCAUAAAUCACUACAAUUAAUUCCCCCAAGUUUAUAGCAACAUUCAUUUCGAAUCACUAUGUAUGCAUUUCUUUGGACACCUGAUUGCUGACUGCUGGAAAAUUGUCCGUAGUGUGUGAUUUCGUGAGUGAAUGAGAGUGUGUGUGUCCUGCGAUGGGUUGGGACUCCGUCCAGAGUGUAUCCUGCCUUGAUGCCCGAUGACAGGCUCCCCAUGACCAGAGUAGUUAGGGUAAGCGAUAGAAAAUGAAUGAAUGAAUGAAUGAAUAAAGCACAAAGCCUUCAACAUUCAUGAGAUUGAUUUUUUUCUAAAAACAGACAAAAUGUCCACAUUCACCAUACAAAAAGUUAUCUUUAUUACAUUUUUGUUUGGAGUUACCUUGCGUAUGCAGUGGAUAAUGCUUUGGUCAUGUAUUUACUAUAUUGAUACGUUUAUUUAUUAAUCUAUCCUUAAUUUGUCAAUCCAUUAAUUUUUGCUUCUAAAAUUAAUACGUUGUUUGGUUGUGGAACUUUCUGUGACAGCGCUUUCACCAGCACAGAUCCUCAUCGAGCUCUGAUGUGAAAAGCUUCGAGUAAUGAACCUUUUUCCGAUACAAUUGGGUUGAAAGUUUCACUGCUUCAAGAAAGCUUCACUUCGCCAUCACUACUGAUUAAUUCGGUACGGGAGUAGAGAUAAAAGCCCCGCCCACACUGACAAUCAAUUGGUUGACUUACAGAAACAGACCAAUCAGGAUGUUCUCUGUCUUACAUGCGCUUAAUGAGGCACGCGCACACUAGCACACGCAAGGUCUCUCGCUCCCCCGCCCUCUCUGUCGCGCAUGCGCACUCUUGCUCGCUCGCUCUAGAUUCCGGGAGAUUGUAAAUAAAUCUAUGUUAAAAACACAUAAUGUCGGUAAACUAUAGUGAUUUUGUACAAACAUUCUGUAUGUUUUGUUCAUGAACAACUGAAGAGAGGAGACUGAAAGGACUGUAUACAAACCUGGUUAAACCUGUUUUACAGGAAGGAGGAGUCGUGUAUCUGAUCACAACAGGUGAUGUGUUGUUUGGUAAUGAGUCGACUCUUUGAAUCGGCUCUUUGGCUGAACGUUGAGAGCUGACUCGCAAAUCUUUCUAAAAAUUAGACUGUGGUUAAUAAUUUACUGAAAUGUAAUUUAUUUUGAUUUGAGGAAAAAGCAGUGUCUAAAUGCUAAAAGAAUGCACGUGACUGAACAAGAUGG